Long non-coding RNA from Cyprinodon tularosa, 339 nucleotides. RefSeq lists it as uncharacterized. The transcript has 2 exons. The record is from RefSeq and is a predicted model, not a curated record. NCBI's taxonomy places the organism in Eukaryota, Metazoa, Chordata, Actinopteri, Cyprinodontiformes, Cyprinodontidae.
UCCAUAAAAGUUUAAAAAAGAAAAACAAGCUUUCUCAAUUGAAAUGUCAAUUCAAAUGAGAAAGCUUCCUGGAGGGGAAGCGACACGUCUUCAAAUCUUAGAAACCAAGUCCAGUGGAUUGUUUUUUUUUUUUUACUUUUACGGAAUGACUAUGACCUGGAUGACUGAGAAUCUUUAUCAGCAGUAUUUUAAACUCUGAUAAAAGUCGCUCCUCCUUGGACUCUCUGCUACGUCUCUCUACAGCAGAGUAUCACAUGCUCUGCUGCAUGAAAAAAACAAGGAUGUCAUAAUCCACCUGUGACACUUCCUGUAUUUUAUUUAUAUUAUUGGUUCCACUGU